Molecule: long non-coding RNA, 1080 nt
Organism: Electrophorus electricus (electric eel)
Lineage: Eukaryota; Metazoa; Chordata; Actinopteri; Gymnotiformes; Gymnotidae
Source: RefSeq, a predicted model, not a curated record
GCGCUGCGCAAUCACAGUGAUCAUACAAUGCGCAGUAAUCAUAAUACUUCACAUAGGAACAUGAACCAGAAAGAAACACCCGUUUUUCAGCGAGUGGGAACUCGGAAACAUUCAUGCCGCCCAUGUCAAGCAGAUCAUGACGUACUUUUCUCAAGAGAGACUACAAUACCUUACUCAUGGAGAGACAGCCACCCAGCCAUCCAGGUCUGCAAAAAUCAGUGAGCAAUAACCCAGUUUCACUGCACAAUGCAGUGCAGCACAAUACCCCACUUUGGAGUCGUUUGGACGCAACGAUUCAUACCUUCCCUCUUUUGCCCUGGGCGUUUCUAGGAUGUGGCUGGUAAAAUGUCUACUUCAGCACACACCAGCCCAGCUUUAAUAUCAUUUGCUUUCAAAAUUCUGUAUGUUUAUGAUAAUGAUAAUAAUGUUUAUUAUGAGCAGGGGGAUUCAUCUGGAGGAUAUGAUUUUACAUACUUUCAUCUUGCGGCAGAUGUUAUUGAAAAACAUGAAUAAAUUCUUCAGAAAUGUAAUGUGACAAAUAUGGAAUAUGUUUUACAGAAAUAUCAGUGCAUAACAGUUUAUGUCUAAAUUUGAAUAUAAAAUAAUGUUUAGGAUUAUUUCUCCAUUACAUUGAGGUAUGGUUACCUCACAGACAUUUGUUCUUGUCCAUAGUGUAAUAUUUGUUCCACCUGAACAUCUAUAUAGAUGAGUACUGAACAAUAAUAUAAAAGAUAACUAUCUUCUCAGUAGCAUUUCAUGAAGCAUGCAUGAAAGGUGUUGUGAACCAUACUGGCAAAAUCAUGCCUGCCACCACCUAUAUCAUCACCCUGCCACCACCUAUUCCAACCCUUCCAGUGACGCAACUUAUGGUCAUCAAAACCGGAAAAAGCAGAUAAAAUGACAGCUUUUUCCUCAGGGCUGUGGAUUCUUUGCACUCUAGCCUAAAGCCUAUAACCUAGCAAACCCCUUUAUAAAUUUGUUGCUUGCGUAUUCUAUAUCAUCCCAGCUAGAACCAUGUAUCACAGCCCAUAUGUGUCCCCAGACCUUAGCCAUACGUACAUAUUCAGUUCAUGUUUUUUA